UYUUAUAAAUUAAGACUGGAAUGAAUGGAUGAAUGGGGCAAUACUUUCUUAAAUUAAUAAUUAAAAAUAUUCUUUUUAGUGAAGAGACUAAAAUGAUGAUGAGGGACGAGAAGACCCUAUUAAGCUUAAUAAAAUUAUUUUGUUGGGGAAACAGAAGAAAAAAAUUUCUUUUAGUUUAUAAGUUGAUAAAUUUUGAUUUAUUAUUAAUAAUAAUAGAAUAAGUUACUAUAGGGAUAACAGCAUAAUUUUUUUUAAAAGUUCUUAUUUACAAAAAAGAUUAUGACCUCGAUGUUGGAUUAAAUUUAUUAUAUGAUGUAGUUGUUGUAUAAAUUAGUCUGUUCGACUAUUAAAUUUUUA
RNAcentral lists this ribosomal RNA (357 nucleotides) under Peripatus sp. MCZ 131441. RNAcentral's name for it is "partial 16S ribosomal RNA". Lineage: Eukaryota; Metazoa; Onychophora; Udeonychophora; Euonychophora; Peripatidae. The record is from RNAcentral.